GGCUGUCGUCAGCUCGUGUCGUGAGAUGUUGGGUUAAGUCCCGUAAGCGAGCCGCAACCCUUGUCCUUAGUUACCCAGGCACGUAAUGGUGGGCACUCCUAAGGAGACUGCCGGUAGACAAACCGGAGGAAGGUGGGGAUGACGUCAAGUCAUCAUGGCCCUUACGGCCUGGGCUACACACGUGCUACAAUGGUCGGUACAGAGGGUUGCCAAGCCGCGAGGUGGAGCUAAUCCCAGAAAACCGAUCGUAGUCCGGAUCGCAGUCUGCAACNNGACUGCGUGAAGUCGGAAUCGCUAGUAAUCGCGAAUCAGAAUGUCGCGGUGAAUACGUUCCCGGGCCUUGUACACACCGCCCGUCACAC
Molecule: ribosomal RNA, 362 nt
Filed under: uncultured Pseudomonas sp.
Lineage: Bacteria; Pseudomonadati; Pseudomonadota; Gammaproteobacteria; Pseudomonadales; Pseudomonadaceae
Description: bacterial SSU rRNA
Rfam family: Bacterial small subunit ribosomal RNA
Source: RNAcentral